This 232-nucleotide unclassified non-coding RNA is filed under the name uncultured fungus. Its description in RNAcentral is "partial contains 18S rRNA, ITS1 and 5.8S rRNA". The stretch from base 1 to 46 matches the Rfam family "Eukaryotic small subunit ribosomal RNA", at positions 1786 to 1831 of the family's 1831-position model. Lineage: Eukaryota; Fungi. The record is from RNAcentral.
AAGUCGUAACAAGGUUUCCGUAGGUGAACCUGCGGAGGGAUCAUUACCGAGUUUACAACUCCCAAACCCAUGUGAACAUACCUACUGUUGCUUCGGCGGGAUUGCCCCGGGCGCCUCGUGUGCCCCGGAUCAGGCGCCCGCCUAGGAAACUUAACUCUUGUUUUAUUUUGGAAUCUUCUGAGUAGUUUUUACAAAUAAAUAAAAACUUUCAACAACGGAUCUCUUGGUUCUG